RNAcentral lists this ribosomal RNA (667 nucleotides) under uncultured Lachnospiraceae bacterium. RNAcentral's name for it is "bacterial SSU rRNA". It matches the Rfam family "Bacterial small subunit ribosomal RNA", at positions 89 to 776 of the family's 1533-position model. The record is from RNAcentral. Lineage: Bacteria; Bacillati; Bacillota; Clostridia; Lachnospirales; Lachnospiraceae.
UUUUAGAUGAGGGAAGGGUAAGAGGCGUGGGAAACCUGCCCUACACAGGGGGAUAACGGAGAGAAAAUUUCCGCUAACACUGCAUAAGACCACAGCACCGCAUGUGCAGGGGUAAAAUAUUUAUAGGUAUAAGAUGGAUCCGCGUCCGAUUAGCUAGUUGGUGGGGUAAAGGCCCACCAGGGCGACGAUCGGUAGCCGGCCUGAGAGGGUGAACGGCCACAUUGGGACUGAGACACGGCCCAAACUCCUACGGGAGGCAGCAGUGGGGAAUAUUGGACAAUGGGGGAAACCCUGAUCCAGCGACGCCGUGUGAGUGAAGAAGUAUUUCGGUAUGUAAAGCUCUAUCAGCAGGGAAGAAAAUGACGGUACCUGACUAAGAAGCCCCGGCUAACUACGUGCCAGCAGCCGCGGUAAUACGUAGGGGGCAAGCGUUAUCCGGAUUUACUGGGUGUAAAGGGAGCGCAGACGGCAAUGCAAGUCUGAAGUGAAAGGCGUGGGCUCAACCCAUGAACUGCUUUGGAAACUGUAUAGCUUGAGUGUCGGAGGGGUAAGCGGAAUUCCUAGUGUAGCGGUGAAAUGCGUAGAUAUUAGGAGGAACACCGGAGGCGAAGGCGGCCCCCUGGACAAAGACUGACGCUCAGGUGCGAAAGCGUGGGGAGCAAACAGG